Molecule: long non-coding RNA, 2742 nt
Organism: Dermochelys coriacea (leatherback sea turtle)
Lineage: Eukaryota; Metazoa; Chordata; Testudines; Dermochelyidae
Exons: 2
Source: RefSeq, a predicted model, not a curated record
ACCACAUGGCAAAAGACUAUAAAAGGCAGCUGAAUCUUCUCCAUUUUGUCUUCAAUCCUGCUUCUUACAUCUGGAGGAACUUUGCUACAAACUGAAGCUCUGAACAAAGGACUGAAUGACCCAUCUAAGCUGUAGAUGUGAUCCAGGGGGACUUUCAAGCUGGCAAACUCACCAAUACUGCUAGGAACUUGAUAUAUGGACUUUAAAGUCUUUAUUGAAAACCAAGGAUCAGCUCUGGACACAAUGGUUCUAACUCAAAUCAUGUGGUGGUAAGAAGGAACUGGAGAGGUAGCUGGGUGGCAUCACCCCUUAUUCCCUUGAUGCAGAACAUGAAGAAAGCAAUCGUGAAGGUGUGGAGCAAUGGAUAUUGCUGGCAAGAAUCCUCUCUCAGAUUUGUAGAGCACAUGCAUAUCCCACAGUGGAAUACACACAGGGACCAGCACUUGAAAUGAAACUAAAUGUUUGUGUAGACAAAUCCAAAGUCAAGAAAUGCAAAUGCUAAGGUACUAACAGCAGUGGUAAUUCAGUUGUAUUGCACACAUUUAAUAUUUCCUGUGCUUUCUUUGGUUUAUAUAUGGCUGUUCCUAAUUGACCUGAUUUACCUUACCUCAAAUUGCUCCUCAAAACAAACUUCUUCCAUGAAAGCCUAUACUUCCUAAUGAAAGACUAUAUCAAAAUUCACAAGGGCAACCUUAAUUCUGACAUUUCCUAAAUUUUGCAUGCUUCACUUUGCAACCUUAAUGUUCUUUUAAUGUAGGUUUUUGAGAAUUGAUUUCCUAAUUGUUUUUAAAAGCAAACUGAAAACCUCACCAGAAAUUACAGCACAUGGAACCGUACUAACCUCCAGCUUGAUCAGCAGCAGGGUUUGGGACCUUUAGAUCCAUAGCACAAAACUCUACCACUUGAGCUGAUGGACUAACUAGUAGCAGUAGUAGGCUGUUAUCCUCUAGGUGGACUAGCCACUAAAAGAUGAUGAGACAGUUGUGAAACUGACUGUCAUUUGGGCAUUUGAUGACAGCUGAGGAAUGUAGAGAGACUCAAGACUAUUAGGCUCAAAUGCAGGUUUUGAAAGGGAGUGUUCUCCAGUAGUUAAUAGACCCUUCUUCCUCCCGAGAUACCCUCUUUCCCUGUGCAUCUAGCUACCCGCUUCGGACUCCUGCCCUCUUCUCCAUCUGGUCUUAUCUGCCUCCCCCAUCCAACCACUCUCCAAUGCCUCAUCUCCUUUCCCCUCUAUCAAUCCCCCACCCCCUGCUUCACCUAUAAUUAAAUGUUAAUUGAGGAAAAACUCCUAGGCCCAGAUCUGCAAACGUACUUAGGCACCUAAAACCCAGAUUGGGCUCCAAAAUACAAGGUUUAGGCACCUAUGUCCCAGUUUUAGCUCCAAUACAAUCCACAAAACUACCACCAAACUGUGUCAGUGCCUAAACUCACUCAGCACCUAAUUUUUCAGAGUAAAUGUUCCCUAGGUACCUAUGUUUGUGCCUCUGGGAUGCUCACUGCUGCCUCCCUCUAAGUACCCAGACACCUAAGCCCCAGAGUGAUUCAUAAACUGGGAAAAGAUAAGCGUUUGGUUGCAUAAGUCACUUGUGAGGCCCAAUCUGGUAGGUGUGCUCACAGGCUGCUUACCAGAUUGGGUCCCAUUCAAAAUCUGGCUGCUGGGGAAGGAGGUGGUGGCGGAGGAGGCUGCAGGAGCACCCACCUUCUAACAUCUUGCCCAGUGGUUAGUAAAUAGAGCUAUUCUCUCUUUCUUUGUCCCAAUGACUGUAGUCCAGUGGCUAGGGCACACACCGACGGGUGGGGGGGAACGACCCAGGAUGUAGUUCUGCUGCUUCAAUCACUUGUUCAUCACUUAACAACAGUGAAACAGCUUCAACAGAAGAGGUUGAAGACGACUCACCUCAGAAUAUCCCAUAAUUCAGUGGUUAGAGCACCCUCCUGAGAGCCUGGAGACCCUUGUCCAAAUCCCUUCUUUCCCUCCGGCAGGAAGGAGGGACUUGAGCCUGGGUCUCCCAUAUCUCAAGCAAAUCCGCUAGCCACUGGGCUAAAAGUUAUACGGUGGGCACCACCACUCCUCCCCAAUUCCCCCUUUUGUGUGGAGCACAGCAGGUGCCUAACUCAUUCCCAAAAGACACUUUAGGCCACCUGACUCCAGGCAGUUCAUGGAUCACUGAUCACUAAGCAGAAAUAGGUACCUAACUCUGUGAGUGAGGUGGGGCUUAGGACUCCUCGUCCCCCCCAGUUUGUAUUGCCCAUUGGCUAGUUUACGUGGCUCCCCACUUAGUGUGGUAGAUCACAUUCUAAGGCAGCCAUCUCUCCCCAUUCGUUAUAUAGGGAGCCUUGGUUUCUAACUUGGCUUUGUGGAUCGCAGUGCUGUUCCUGUGAUUUUCUGGGCAUCUAAGUGCCUGUGUGGAUCCCACCUCUUGUUCUUAGCAAUAGUUAAGAGAUCUGGUAAGUAACGUAAAUGUCCUGCACCUGCUGUUUCCAUUCUGGGCUGAUUCUCUUGCAGUAACUCCACACCAUGUUUUGCAUACACAGCUGUCUCAAGAGCUGAGAUACCUGAAGAAAUAAGAUGGUAUGUGAAGAUGGCUUUAAGUUGAACAAAGGCAAAACAAUUCAAACAGAAUAUAAGGAGAGAACAGAGAAGAGAUAUGAAUGCAGAAAAUGCAAGCCUGAAUCUGAACAACUCAUCUUCAACACUAUGUUAUUGCAGGAAUAUUUUUAAAAUUAAAUAGCAACAAGUAA